UUAGGGAAGGAACAGCUAACAGGUCGUCUUGUACCUCACUGAGUAUUACCACUUACCUACUGUACACGAGUAGAAUGCAGGCGGAGGACUUCUGUUGUGGUGUGUGUGAGGAACAAUAUGGCGACAACCGUCCUCCUCGCAUCCUGACUUGUGGACAUUCUCUCUGCACAUUUUGUGUCCAACAAAUUUUCACCAGAGACAGCAGGUGUCCAGAAUGUCGUGCCCGCAUCACCGUCUCCAAGGGAAAGGACCCGCCUGUCAAUUUCGAGUUAUUGAGGUUAGCUCGUUCCUUCGGGAAGGUUCAGGCAGAGCAGCAGAAAGGUUGCCAGGUCCUCGAGGGGAAGCCAGGUCAAGAUCCUGACGCAGGGGAGUGUAAAGCUCACGGCUCUCGCUUGUUGUUUAUAUGUUGCAAGUGUUAUAAGUGGGUAUGCAGGAACUGUCUGGUGGUGGACCAUCGCCAGCCACCGCUGGGACAGUGUAACAUUAUGACGUUUUCCCAGGCGAUGUUCGAGGCUAAAAACAAUAAUAAGAGCAACACAAGUUCUUUGUUACAGAAGAUUACCCAAAUGAAAGUCAGGCUCUCGAGAACAAAGUCUUUCUUAUUAUUAAAGGAAAGAGAACACAAAAAGGAGAUCGCCAAACUUCUUGAGGAGGUCCAUGACAUUCCUCACAAAGUUGAUGAGGUCAACAAUCACCUGAAGACGCUGGACUCUUGUCCGGCUGUACUCAAGGCAACCCAAAACUGUGUUGACCAAGCCCAGACUCUUGAAGAACUCAAGGCCUCCACCGAGACUGCUAAUGCUCGCUCAGACUCCACCAACCUUCUCUUGGACCAAGCGCAGCAACUCGUGAAAAAGGUCUGUCCAACUUAGUCUCACAUUCACAAAACCUCAACGUACAACAAAGUCUUUGUGCGAGGCGAAGCAUAUGGUAGAUGCGGCUGGUUAUAAAGCAGUGAAAAUGUAUCCACGAAUUGCAUAAAUUACCUUAUAAACCCAACAAUAAUAUUAUAAAAGUCAUAAAGAAGGACUAGAGUCAUACAUAUUGUGUCUUAACUCGUGAAGGAGACAGAGGGGCAUCACUGUGGUCAGGCAUCAGCCAUGGACGUCAACCCAAACGACUUCCCGGACCCGUGUGUGAUAGACUGGUGAGGUACACGAACACUGUGUGGUAGACUGGUGAGGUACACGAACACUGUGUGGUAGACUGGUGAGGCACACGAACACUGGGUGGUAGACUGGUGAGGUACUCGAACACUGUGUGGUAGACUGGUGAGGUACUCGAACACUGUGUGGUAGACUGGUGAGGCACACGAACACUGUGUGGUAGACUGGUGAGGUACACGAACACUGUGUGGUAGACUGGUGAGGUACUCGAACUCUGUGUGGUAGAAUGGUGAGGUACACGAGCUCUGUGUGGUAGACUGGUGAGGUACACGAACACUGUGUGGUAGACUGGUGAGGCACACGAACACUGGGUGGUAGACUGGUGAGGUACUCGAACACUGUGUGGUAGACUGGUGAGGUACUCGAACACUGUGUGGUAGACUGGUGAGGCACACGAACACUGUGUGGUAGACUGGUGAGGUACACGAACACUGUGUGGUAGACUGGUGAGGUACUCGAACACUGUGUGGUAGACUGGUGAGGUACACGAACACUGUGUGGUAGACUGGUGAGGUACACGAACACUACACAUGUUAUGUACAUUCGACCGAGUAGUGCCCUUUGAAAUGUUUACACACUUCAAUUAGGUCCCCCUUUGCCCAUCUGCAGUAUAAUCUAGACAGUUACAGUCGCUCUAAUCUCUCUGGAUAACUGAGGUGCCAAAGUGCAGGCACCAGUCUGUGGCCCUUCUUUGGGCAUUUUCAAUC
Molecule: unclassified non-coding RNA, 1873 nt
Filed under: Homarus americanus (American lobster)
Lineage: Eukaryota; Metazoa; Arthropoda; Malacostraca; Decapoda; Nephropidae
Description: postreplication repair E3 ubiquitin-protein ligase rad18-like, transcript variant X2
Source: RNAcentral